This 65-nucleotide transfer RNA is filed under the name Lepidostoma longipilosum. Its description in RNAcentral is "tRNA-Asn". The record is from RNAcentral. Lineage: Eukaryota; Metazoa; Arthropoda; Insecta; Trichoptera; Lepidostomatidae.
UUAAUUAAAACCAAAAAGAGGUAUAUUACUGUUAAUAAUAAAAUUGAUAAUUUUAUCUAAUUAAA